UGGGGAAUUUUGGACAAUGGGCGAAAGCCUGAUCCAGCCAUGCCGCGUGCAGGAUGAAGGCCUUCGGGUUGUAAACUGCUUUUGUACGGAACGAAAAGACUCUGGUUAAUACCUGGGGUCCAUGACGGUACCGUAAGAAUAAGCACCGGCUAACUACGUGCCAGCAGCCGCGGUAAUACGUAGGGUGCAAGCGUUAAUCGGAAUUACUGGGCGUAAAGCGUGCGCAGGCGGUUAUAUAAGACAGAUGUGAAAUCCCCGGGCUCAACCUGGGAACUGCAUUUGUGACUGUAUAGCUAGAGUACGGCAGAGGGGGAUGGAAUUCCCGCGUGUAGCAGUGAAAAUGCGUAGAUAUGCGGAGGAACACCGAUGGCGAAGGCAAUCCCCUGGGCCUGUACUGACGCUCAUGCACGAAAGCGUGGGGAGCAAACA
This 429-nucleotide ribosomal RNA is filed under the name uncultured Acidovorax sp. Its description in RNAcentral is "bacterial SSU rRNA". It matches the Rfam family "Bacterial small subunit ribosomal RNA", at positions 355 to 774 of the family's 1533-position model. The record is from RNAcentral. Lineage: Bacteria; Pseudomonadati; Pseudomonadota; Betaproteobacteria; Burkholderiales; Comamonadaceae.